Delphinapterus leucas (beluga whale) is the source of this 391-nucleotide long non-coding RNA. RefSeq lists it as uncharacterized. The record is from RefSeq and is a predicted model, not a curated record. NCBI's taxonomy places the organism in Eukaryota, Metazoa, Chordata, Mammalia, Artiodactyla, Monodontidae.
GCCACCAGGGAAGCUUGAGCCAUAGGAAUUUGGAUGGUCGAGAACAUGCUCCAGUCAGUCCUUGAAUCCACAGAAUCAAACCAGCGUCUCAUCGUGGGGAGCGUCAUUAGUAUGAGUGUCAUCGGCAUCAUCAUUAUGAUCAUCAUCACCGUCACGCUAGUGGAAACACAGUUCUGUCCGACAAAUAAUAAUUGAGCCUUGACUCCGGAGCCUUGACACUGGAAUACAUGCCAGGGGAGAGAGAGCAAAAUGAACUUGUUCCAUCAUGAGAUGCUCCCAAACUUCUCAUGCCAUCAGGUUCAGGCUUGAAGUCCAGGAUCUCGUCUUUGGUAUCAUUUCCAGGUAUACAGCAAAGUGAGAGAUUGGUGCAAGAUGGCGGAGUAGGACGUGU